This 208-nucleotide ribosomal RNA is filed under the name uncultured bacterium. RNAcentral describes it as "partial 16S ribosomal RNA". It matches the Rfam family "Bacterial small subunit ribosomal RNA", at positions 568 to 775 of the family's 1533-position model. The record is from RNAcentral.
CGUGUAGGCGGCCUGCUAAGUCAGACGUGAAAUCCCUGGGCUUAACCUAGGGACUGCGUUUGAUACUGGUGGGCUUGAGGACGGGAGAGGAAAGUGGAACUCCGUGUGUAGCGGUGAAAUGCGUAGAUAUACGGAAGAACACCAGUGGCGAAGGCGACUUUCUGGACCGUCCCUGACGCUGAGGCGCGAAAGCCAGGGGAGGCAAACG